This 253-nucleotide ribosomal RNA is filed under the name uncultured bacterium. RNAcentral describes it as "partial 16S ribosomal RNA". It matches the Rfam family "Bacterial small subunit ribosomal RNA", at positions 524 to 776 of the family's 1533-position model. The record is from RNAcentral.
UACGUAGGGGGCUAGCGUUGUCCGGAAUCAUUGGGCGUAAAGCGCGUGUAGGCGGUCCGGUAAGUCCGCUGUGAAAGUCGGGGGCUCAACCCUCGAAUGCCGGUGGAUACUGUCGGGCUAGAGUGCGGGAGAGGCGAGUGGAAUUCCUGGUGUAGCGGUGAAAUGCGCAGAUAUCAGGAGGAACACCAAUUGCGAAGGCAGCUCGCUGGAACGUAACUGACGCUGAGACGCGAAAGCGUGGGGAGCAAACAGG